GCGCACGUGGUGAAAUUGGUAGACACGCCACCUUGAGGGGGUGGUGGGGGCAACCCUGUGGAAGUUCGAAUCUUCUCGUGCGCA
This 84-nucleotide transfer RNA is filed under the name Marivirga aurantiaca. It matches the Rfam family "tRNA". Rfam says of the family: Transfer RNA (tRNA) molecules are approximately 80 nucleotides in length. The record is from Rfam by way of RNAcentral. Lineage: Bacteria; Pseudomonadati; Bacteroidota; Cytophagia; Cytophagales; Marivirgaceae.